This 253-nucleotide ribosomal RNA is filed under the name uncultured bacterium. RNAcentral's name for it is "partial 16S ribosomal RNA". It matches the Rfam family "Bacterial small subunit ribosomal RNA", at positions 524 to 776 of the family's 1533-position model. The record is from RNAcentral.
UACGGGGGGGGCAAGCGUUGUUCGGAAUUACUGGGCGUAAAGGGCUCGUAGGCGGCCAACUAAGUCGGACGUGAAAUCCCCAGGCUCAACCUGGGAACUGCGUCCGAUACUGGAUGGCUUGAAUUCGGGAGAGGGAUGCAGAAUUCCAGGUGUAGUGGUGAAAUGCGUAGAGAUCGGGAGGAACACCCGUAGCGAAGGCGGCCGACUGGACCACACCUGACGCUGAGGCGCGAAGGCCAGGGGAGCGAACGGG